RNAcentral lists this long non-coding RNA (237 nucleotides) under Capsicum annuum. Its description in RNAcentral is "long non-coding RNA (CANN_LNC002862)". Lineage: Eukaryota; Viridiplantae; Streptophyta; Magnoliopsida; Solanales; Solanaceae. The record is from RNAcentral.
ACUAAGGUUUUUGAAGUUCAUGCCAAGCCUUGUUCCCGACCCCAGUAUGUGAUAUUAUAUAUACAUAUAUGUACUGCAUAUGAUAUGAUACAUUAUAUGUUGUACCGGUUUUGAACUAUUAUCAUGGCAUUAUUUUGUUCCUCUAUCCCUAAGUUUUAUGCUAGCGCUCCAACCAUUAUCUGUCUUCAGACGUUGUAUCCCUACGCAAUAUGGAAAUUGGCCAUACUUUCACAUCUC